RNAcentral lists this long non-coding RNA (1033 nucleotides) under Homo sapiens (human). Its description in RNAcentral is "HSALNT0194090". The record is from RNAcentral. Lineage: Eukaryota; Metazoa; Chordata; Mammalia; Primates; Hominidae.
CCGUCAUCAGCCACCUGUGGAGGCGCAGGCCUUCCCUCCAGGUGCUGCCUCGCCACUACAAAAGCGGGCUGUGUGAUGAGACUUGUUAAGCGCAGCUUUGCGUGCUCUCUGUUCUGUUCACACUGUCUUGCAAAGUAGGUAAUAUCCUCACUUUCGCUUCCCCAGUGAGGAAACUGGGAUUCAGAGAAGUCAAAGUCACCAGCAAGGAAGUGGCCGAGUCUGAACUUGAACUCCCUGGUGGUGCCGCCAGUGCACUUUCCUCCUCCUGAGAUGUGGGUUGAUUCUGCAGCACCCACAGGCAAAAAUGGACUGUUUGGUGUUGGAGGCUGAGCAGAGGUGGGCAAAAAGGAACAGAAGGAGAGUAACUGGUGAAGAAGGAGCAAAGAGUGAGGCACAAAAUGAAGUCUCACCAUGUUGCCCAAGCUGGUCUCAAACUCUUGGCCUCCAGAAAUCCUCCAACUUCAGCCUCCCAAGGUGCUGGGAUUACAGAGGACCUCAUUCCAGUCUGCUCUUGGCCAUGCAAUGGACUAUGCUCUAUGAAUUGGCAGAUUGGCUCCCUAUGGACAGCAAGAACAGAGGCAGAUGCUGCAGCCAUCACUCCAGGGUCCAGAAAUGUGUUGUAAACUGCACAGCUUAAAGGUCUCAUCCGUAUUUUCAUCUAUGGCUUGCUUCUCCAUUUCAUUCACAAAGAUGUUGGGAGAGAUGUAAACACCCGAGUAGACUAUGCACACCACAGUCCCCCUGCUCUACCAAGCUACUUUUCUUCUGGCGAAUGGCUCAACCCCAGCUCUUAUUGCUCAUUGCCAUUUUUCUGUAAGUAUUCACAAACAAUACAAGUCAUUCAUUCUAGAUUUUCAUUAAAACAAAAAACAACACUUUAAAAUAAAAGCUUUCUACUCUCCCUAGUCUUCCAACAUCUUUCUCAUCUUCACGCUUUCUCAAAGAUUCCUGAUGGGGUAAAAUAAAACACGUGAAAGGGGUAAAGGAAUAAAAAUUGUGUGAGCAUCUUCUGUGGCCUCAGAGUCACACCAGG